UACGUAGGGGGCGAGCGUUGUCCGGAUUUAUUGGGCGUAAAACGCUUGUAGGUGGCUACGUCAAGUCGGACGUGAAAUCUCCCGGCUUAACUGGGAGGGGUCGCUCGAUACUGGCGAGCUCGAGGCAGGUAGGGGGAAACGGAAUUCCCGGUGUAGUGGUGGAAUGCGUAGAUAUCGGGAGGAACACCAGUGGCGAAGGCGGCUUCCUGGACCUGUUCUGACACUGAGGAGCGAAAGCGUGGGGAGCGAUCCGG
Molecule: ribosomal RNA, 254 nt
Filed under: uncultured bacterium
Lineage: Bacteria
Description: partial 16S ribosomal RNA
Rfam family: Bacterial small subunit ribosomal RNA
Source: RNAcentral